RNAcentral lists this ribosomal RNA (423 nucleotides) under uncultured bacterium. RNAcentral describes it as "bacterial SSU rRNA". It matches the Rfam family "Bacterial small subunit ribosomal RNA", at positions 361 to 776 of the family's 1533-position model. The record is from RNAcentral.
AUUUUGGACAAUGGGGGCAACCCUGAUCCAGCCAUGCCGCGUGAGUGAAGAAGGCCUUCGGGUUGUAAAGCUCUUUCGGCCGGGACGAAAUCGCACGUGUGAAUAUCGCGUGUGGAUGACGGUACCGGAAGAAGAAGGACCGGCUAACUACGUGCCAGCAGCCGCGGUAAUACGUAGGGUCCGAGCGUUAAUCGGAAUUACUGGGCGUAAAGCGUGCGCAGGCGGUUUUGUAAGCCAGAUGUGAAAUCCCCGGGCUUAACCUGGGAACUGCAUUUGGGACUGCAAGGCUUGAGUACGGCAGAGGGGGGUAGAAUUCCUGGUGUAGCAGUGAAAUGCGUAGAUAUCAGGAGGAAUACCGAUGGCGAAGGCAGCCCCCUGGGUCGAUACUGACGCUCAUGCACGAAAGCGUGGGGAGCAAACAGG